CAGUUUAUAGCUUAUUUUAAAGCUUAUUAUUUACAUUAAUAUGAAAUUUUUAUUAAUUAUUCUGA
RNAcentral lists this transfer RNA (65 nucleotides) under Anagonalia emeiensis. RNAcentral describes it as "tRNA-Val". The record is from RNAcentral. Lineage: Eukaryota; Metazoa; Arthropoda; Insecta; Hemiptera; Cicadellidae.